This 253-nucleotide ribosomal RNA is filed under the name uncultured bacterium. Its description in RNAcentral is "partial 16S ribosomal RNA". It matches the Rfam family "Bacterial small subunit ribosomal RNA", at positions 524 to 776 of the family's 1533-position model. The record is from RNAcentral.
GACGUAGGGUGCGAGCGUUGUCCGGAUUUAUUGGGUGUAAAGGGUGCGUAGGCGGCUUUUUAAGUCGGUGGUGAAAGCCCAUAGCUCAACUAUGGAACUGCCAUUGAUACUGAAAGGCUUGAGUACAGACGAGGUUGGCGGAAUGGAUGGUGUAGCGGUGAAAUGCAUAGAUACCAUCCAGAACUCCGAUUGCGUAGGCAGCUAACUAGGCUGUAACUGACGCUGAGGCACGAAAGCGUGGGGAGCAAACAGG